This 72-nucleotide transfer RNA is filed under the name Petitella bleheri (rummy-nose tetra). RNAcentral describes it as "tRNA-Lys". The record is from RNAcentral. Lineage: Eukaryota; Metazoa; Chordata; Actinopteri; Characiformes; Acestrorhamphidae.
CACUAGGAAGCUGUAAGGGGUCAGCAUUAGCCUUUUAGCUAAAAGUUGGUGGCUCCCGACCACCCCCUGUGA